GCUGGCGAAGCCGGAGGUGUACGCACGUCGCGCGUAGCAGCAGUGGCAGCCGUGUGUGUGUGUGUCUGUGUGUGUGUCCGCGGUCGGGUGUGUGCGUGCCGCGAGGGGCACGCCGCGACGGUCUUCCGCCGAGUUAGUGCGUGUGUCGUUUGAGUGCUUCGGACAGACCCCUGCCUGCGUCUUUCCGCCGCCACUUUCGACGUCAACAGGUGGCGCGUCCCCGAUGUGAGGCGUGGUGCGGCGCGGACCCAGGCUCUGUGCUCGCGGCUUGCGCGGCUAGCACGGCUCACGCCGCCCCGGCGGCCCCCCUCCCCCCGUCGGCACUCCCCGGCUGCAAGAUAAAAUUGCGGCGCCUGUCGCUCUUCUCCUCCUCCGGGAGCGGGAACAGCGGCAACACCGGCCAGCUCAAUGGCGUCUCGGACGCCCAGGUGGCCGCCCCGGCGCCCGCCAUGUUCUCCAAGCUCAAGGGGGCGGGCGGCGGCGGCGGCUCCGGCCACAGCCCCCUGGACACCAACCCCAUCACGCAGUACUUCGAGGUGGGCAAGCAGACGGCCUGCGCCGGACCCGGCCUCAUCUGGAAGAUCUACGACGCCGUGCGCAAGUCCGACAGGAAGGUGGGUCAGUCCGCCGUCCAUUUCAAAAUACUUCGACCGCGAUGCGUCAGUGAAAGAGGAGGCUUCCAUCUUCCUGUUCGAGAAGCGCCUGGCCGAGAAGCUGCACAAGCCCAAGCGCAAGGACACUGUGUGCGAGGUGCUGCGCGGCAGCGUGAGGCAGCUGGAGCGGUUCCGGCACCCCAAGAUACUGCAGGUCCUGCACUCGGUGGAGGAGUGCAAUGAGACGCUGGCCUUCGCGUCCGAGCCCAUCCUGGCUAGUCUGGCCAACAUCCUGGCGUACCACGAGGCCUCGGGGAGCGGGGCGAGUGGCGCACCCUCCACGGGGGCGUCGCAUCCCAACACAGUGCAGCGGCCGCCGCCACACGCCAAGGACUACUCCUUCCUGGACCUGGAGAUCAAAUACGGACUGCUGCAGCUGACGGAGGCGCUGUCGUACCUGCACUACACGCACCACAUGCUGCACCGACACGUCUGUCCCGCCUCCAUCUUCGUCAACAAGCGAGGCGUCUGGAAGCUGGGUGGCCUUGAAUUCACAGAACGACUCAAUGAGGCGGACCCACAAGAACCCAUGCCCAUCAGCCCUUGGACCUCUCGAGUCUCCAAACUGUGCCAGCCUGACCUCGACUACAUUGCACCGGAAGUCCAGCUCCACUCUCAAAUAUGCAUGCAGAGCGACAUGUUCUCGCUGGGCAUGGUCAUAACAUCAAUCUUCAACCAUGGUCGGCCGAUAAUCCAAGCCAACAACUCGAACACGAGUUACCAGAGACAACUUGAUAUGCUGGAUGAGCACGUCAAGAUGAUCGUAACGGACAUCCCCCUGCCGUUGCGGGAGGCCACCAUCAGACUGCUGAGCAAGGAGCCCAAGGACAGGCCCACCGCGCAGUUACUCUGCCUCCUAAAGUACUUCACGACCGACAGUGUGGUCUCAACGCUGCAGUUCCUCGACGUGAUCCAGAUGAAGGACCCUCCACAGAAGAAUGCAUUCUACAAGCAGACCUUGCGGGACUCCUUGCCCUACAUUCCUAGGAAAUUAUGGUUUCAACAUGUCUGGCCUUCCCUGGAGGCAGAAAUGAGACAGUCAGAGGUCCUAGCAUCAGUUCUGAAACCAAUACUGUUAAUGAUUGAGCACUCUACAAUAGAAGAAUAUGAAAAUGUGAUACAAGAUUCUUUUAGGACCGUCUUAACGUCACCCAAAACCAUUCAAGCUACGGUCUGCCUACUCGAAAAUCUACACAUCAUUCUAGAAAAGACACAAAAGGAAGAUGCAAGGAUGGAAGUACUGCGGGUCCUGUACAACGCAUUCGAAAGCACCACCAUACAAGUCCAGUCGGCCGCCCUGUUUUCAGUCACCAACGUGGCAGACUACAUCGACGAGCAGGCCAUCAGACACAUGAUCCUUCCGCGGACGCUGUCCGUGUUCGCGCAAAACAGCGCGGACCUCAAGUUCACCAUCGCCGUGCUGAGCUGCGUGGAACGCAUCCUGGACCGCCUGGACCGCCCCAUCAUCCUGGACCAAGUGCUGCCUCUCUUGACAGAGGUCAGAUUGACCGAUCCAGACAUCAUGUACAGGGUGGUCUGUAUAUACGCCGUGCUGCUGAGAGACAAGAAAUAUGGACUGACUGUGAAUCAAAUGGCGACGCGGGUGAUGCCAGCGCUCCUGCCGCAGACGGUGAACCCAUCGCUCAACCUGGAGCAGUUCACCAUGCUGCUCCAGGUGCUGCGGGAAAUGCUUGAUCAAAUAGAUAGGAACCAGCGCAACAAGCUGAAGCUGGACAACAUGUCGCUGCCCAGCCCGGAGAGACGGCCGCUCCGCCACCUCUUCUCGUCCGACAACAUGCACGUGCCGCCCUUCAACAUCCCCAACCUGCGGGUGGAGCAGAGGAAGACGUCGAGCGCGGAGGACAUGGCGCGGAAGAACUCGGCGGACUCCGGCAUCCUGGGCGGCUGGUGGUUCGGCGGCGGCUCCUCGUCGCCCGACAGCAACUUCCUGCGCGUGCAGAACGCGCUGCCGAUCCGCCGCCUGUCCGACAACACCCUGAUGACGCCCAAGAUACGCGUGGCGCACUCGUGCUCGUCGUCGCCCGGCGGCUCGCCCGGUGGACUCCCCAUCCGACGCCACUCGUCCAUCGGGCCGCAGGAGCGGCGCGGAUCUACCACCAACCUGUCCCCACCAACGAUUGUUUUGAAUUACGAUUGGUGUUGAGUCGUUUACUGUACCAACCAGCUCCCCACAACCCACACCGAGGCCUGCCCAGGGCUUGGCCCACGGCUUGGCCCAGUGCUCCUCGCUGUCUGUCUGGAUGAAAAGGCACCAGGGUGCUCGUAAACCCAAUUCAGCCUUCUGCGGUCUGAUAAGGCGGCAGCAUGCCCAACACCAGCUCCAGCACGCCCUUCCUCAGUUCAUCCAUGAGCAGCCUGAGGUCCCGCCGGCCGUCGGCCUGCCUAGGCGGCUCUCAGGGCUCAGGCUUGCUCCAGUCGCUAGGCACCGGC
This 3104-nucleotide unclassified non-coding RNA is filed under the name Thrips palmi. Its description in RNAcentral is "sCY1-like protein 2, transcript variant X10". Lineage: Eukaryota; Metazoa; Arthropoda; Insecta; Thysanoptera; Thripidae. The record is from RNAcentral.